This 795-nucleotide unclassified non-coding RNA is filed under the name Zea mays. Its description in RNAcentral is "misc RNA Zm00001eb366070". The record is from RNAcentral. Lineage: Eukaryota; Viridiplantae; Streptophyta; Magnoliopsida; Poales; Poaceae.
CGGCUGCGUCGUUCCCCUCGAAAAGGCAAUCGAAUACUGGGAGCAAAGGCUGGAGGAGGCAGCAGAUGUGCAGAGAUUCAAGGCCUGCGUCGAGCUAGUGCCGCUAUGCUGGGGUUUUGACAGAAAGAAAAGGCCCACGAUAGAGAGGAUUCUCGACACGCUGAACUACACAGACAUUUCAGUGCAGCAGAAAGGACGACGACAGGCCGGCGCUGACGAUCCGCAGCCGCCUGAAAAGAGUAGGCUGGAGGGAGGUGCAGGAGGCGAGCUCCGUGACAUCAACGGCAUGGAGGUGCCACACCGUCUGAAGGCGGUUUGGCUCAAGCACGGCGCUGUCGUCGACUCGCUCAAGUUCUCCUACACCGACGGCGACGGCCGCGAACACCACGCAGGCCCAUGGGGCAGUCCAGACGCCUGGGACAAGGUCCUUCAGCUGGAGCCUUACGAGUUCCUGGUCAGCGUCUCCGGGACGAUGGGCGCAUACGCGGGCCUGCCGACCAAGGUCAUCAGCUCGCUCACAUUUGUCACCAAUGUGAAGACCUACAGAACGCGCGGGGUGACCGAGGGAGAUCCCUUCGAGUUGGAAGCGCCUGCCGGGUCCUGCAUCGUUGGCUUCCGCGCGCGUGCAGGAGACUUUCUCGACGCGCUCGCUGUCUACCAUCGCCCUAUCUCUCACCGUCUCUAAUAAUCAGCCUACUUCAUCAACGCUGGCUCGGCUACUGCGAUACUUCGGCUUCCGCGAUCCUAGAUUGUUUGCUUUUCAUUCAUCUGAAAAUUACAAUGAUCAUCGGCUGC